Long non-coding RNA from Aethalodelphis obliquidens (Pacific white-sided dolphin), 661 nucleotides. RefSeq lists it as uncharacterized. The transcript has 3 exons. Lineage: Eukaryota; Metazoa; Chordata; Mammalia; Artiodactyla; Delphinidae. The record is from RefSeq and is a predicted model, not a curated record.
GCACUGCAGCUGGGGGAAAUGGUGAAGGGAGGACUGUUUUUGGCUUCACAGGUCUUGGGGACUCCAAAACCAAGGCCAAGGUGGGUGAAGAUUUUGAGAACACAUAUAAAAUUUUUCUAAGAAUUCUCAGAAGUAAGUGGGGAGACUUUGGGGAGAAAGGUGUCCUGGUGCAGGUGACGGGACUGAACCAGUGGGAUUUGAGUUUCUACUGUCUACACAAAGAAUUGGGCAGCCUGUGGAAAUUUAAGUUACACGUGACUCCCUUCCUAUACCUCCUCCAAAAGAGGCUGCUAAUACUUAUGGACCACCUAUUAGGGUGCCAAGCAUUCUACAGAUCUUAUCUCAUUUAUUCGUUGCGAUAAACCCAAUGCAUGGGUGAGAAAAUUGAGGUUCAUUGAGGGUAAAUAGUUUGCCUACUAAACACAGCUAGUAAAUGGCAGACCUGGUAUUUGAGCCCUAACUUGUUUGACUUGGGAACCCAUGCUUUUUUUACACUAUCUCCUUAUGCUACCUGGUAACAUAAACACAUCUGCAUGUGUGGUUUUGCACAUAUAUACAGUUUGAACCCAGAAAUGGAUUUCAAAUUAAUAAUCUUAAGAAGCUGAAACCAUAACCAUAUUUUGAGUUAUAUGAGAUGCUUAAGUUAUGCAAGACAGUUUUU